RNAcentral lists this long non-coding RNA (281 nucleotides) under Selaginella moellendorffii. RNAcentral's name for it is "long non-coding RNA (SMOE_LNC001260)". The record is from RNAcentral. Lineage: Eukaryota; Viridiplantae; Streptophyta; Lycopodiopsida; Selaginellales; Selaginellaceae.
GGUGACGACGAUCUUCGUGGUGGAAGAGUGGUGUUUCCCUCGCGAGACUUUAUCGCUCCCCCGACGCGCUUCUCACUAAGGACGGAGCAUUCUUCGCCAUUUCCCUCGGUGGUAAGCGUUUCCUUGCUCUGGUUUCUCUGCGGGACUAACAGUGGACUCCCUUUGUGCCUACAGCAAAUACCUGUGAUCUCUCGCUCUUUCAUCGCCAUGCUUUGCAGCUGCUCCAGUUGCCACUCUAGCAUGUCGAUCGUGUCCUGCUUGUCAACCAGUGCCGAUUGCUG